This 468-nucleotide ribosomal RNA is filed under the name uncultured bacterium. Its description in RNAcentral is "partial 16S ribosomal RNA". It matches the Rfam family "Bacterial small subunit ribosomal RNA", at positions 28 to 507 of the family's 1533-position model. The record is from RNAcentral.
GAUGAACGCUGGCGGCGUGCUUAACACAUGCAAGUCGAACGGAAAGGCCGAAGCUUGCUUCGGUACUCGAGUGGCGAACGGGUGAGUAACACGUGGGUGAUCUGCCCUGUACUUCGGGAUAAGCUUGGGAAACUGGGUCUAAUACCGGAUAUGACGAUCCCUUGGAUGGGGUUGUGGAAAGCUUUUGCGGUUUUGGAUGAGCUCGCGGCCUAUCAGCGUGUUGGUGGGGUAAUGGCCUACCAAGGCGUCGACGGGUAGCCGGCCUGUGAGGGUGUACGGCCACAUUGGGCCUGGGAUACGGCCCAGACUCCUGCGGGAGGCAGCAGUGGGGAAUAUUGCACAAUGGGCGCAAGCCUGAUGCAGCGACGCCGCGUGGGGGAUGACGGCCUUCGGGUUGUAAACUCCUUUCGCAAUCGACGAAGCCUUUUGGUGACGGUAGGUUGAGAAGAAGCACCGGCUAACUACGUG